Coffea arabica (coffee) is the source of this 2052-nucleotide non-coding RNA. NCBI's taxonomy places the organism in Eukaryota, Viridiplantae, Streptophyta, Magnoliopsida, Gentianales, Rubiaceae. The record is from RefSeq and is a predicted model, not a curated record.
UUCUUUACUGGAUCAAAAGAAUUCUAAUUCCAAUUCCACAACUAAACCCUGAUAAACGGGUCUACACGCGGAUCUAAUAUGGGUCAAAAAUUAAAAUCGGGUCAAGCAGAAAUAUGAAACACAGGCAUUCUCUCUCCAUCCCGAUCGCUCCUUCUCCACCAUCUUUCCUACUCCAACCUAACCUCUCCCACUACGGUCUCCCUCUGCCUUCCGUUUCUGUGGAUUGUAGUCGACAAUUUUGUUGGCGAGCACGCCUUGAGGUAGGCUAACCUUCAAGAGUCAGAGAGACGGAGAUCUGUUGUGCAUAUGCAUCUUUUUGGGUUUAUCUAAAUUCGUCCCUAUCAGUUGUCCCUAUCAGUCCCUAUAAUCAUGCGACUGAAUAUGAGUUGGCCUUUCGGCCCCAUAAUCUUAUAAUCCUCUUUCUAGGUUCUUUCCUUCAGCUUUUCUGCUUUCCCCAAAUUUUAGACACAUUUAGGGCUUGUGAAAGGUAACUUUAUCUUUGAAAUUUUUUCAAUUAAUCAUUGGUUAUGGGCUUUAUUACAUAGCUUUUUUUCAUUGAAUACAUUGCAAUGAUUUGUUCUGUUUUCAUUUCUAUUUUUUCUUGUGAUGAGUGCUAAUUCACCAUCUUGCUCUGUUAUCUCUGUGUUUUAGGAUGGAGAUGGUAGUCUUGGAAGAGGGUUUAUGAUUGUAGUGUUUUCUAGUUUUUAGUUCAAUAAGAAUGAGCAGGUAGCACUUGUGAAUGUGAUAGCCCGUUUCCCGACUUUUUUUCCUGUUGCAAUGCGCUACACAUCAAUGAUAUCUGCUCUUUUUUUUUUUUGGGUUACAGAGAUAUCUGCUCUUACAUUAGUAGCUCUCUAAGUUCUAGUGGAGGUGCUUGAUUCCAAAUGGGUUUUGACUGAGUUGGAGUUGAAUAUGAAAUCAUGUGAAGUCUGUAUAGAAGAAAUUCUAAAGGCUUAAUAGCCAAAUACAUCAAAAGUUAAUUUUUUUUCAAAAAGAUUGUAGUGUUUUCUGUGUCUAAUGGUAUAUUGUGGCAUUAAUUUAAAUAUUAAUCAAUUCCCUAGUUGAUUUUUCAUCUCAUGUAAAUUGUCAAGACGUUUGCUUCAUGGUCUUUAUUUCUAUAAGCAUGAGCUACUGUUGAUUGGGAUUCUUGAUGUCAAUUAGUAAUUAUAUAUCCUGAAUAAUUAUUAACUAUCCAGUUAUUAGUUUGGUGCAAUAAACUGAGAUACUUUGUAUGGGUGGCAACGUUUACUGAUUAAGUGCUAGUUAAUUGUUCCUGAAAUGGUUGCUUGUCUUCAGUUUUUGCAUGCUUUAUGGUAAAAGCAUGCAUUAGUUAUUCACAAAUAUUCAGAAUACCUUGAACACCAAUCUGCUUAUGCGCUAUAUGCUAGUAUAUUGGUUUUCUACUAAGUUACACAAGCUGAGUGGGAAAAUUUUUGGACUGAAGAGCAAAGGAAGAUUAUUCCUUUUUGUUUUUGUAUUCUGUUGAGAAGGUAGGUUUCAACCUCUUGAUCAGUGUCUGGCUCGUGAAUACCGGAUAUUCUUGAUUUGCAUUUCUAAACAAGUGUAAUGAUUUCUGUGAGGUGUUCAUGCGAGAUUGGUAGACAAGGACUUUGCUCCAAAGGUAUCUAUUAAUCUAUGUUAUAAAUGUCAAUUUUCUUGGGAGGCGCUGAACAUUAGAUGAGAAUGAUAUUAAGAAACAAGAGGAAAAGCUAGAGGCAGGUGCUUCCUUUAUUGGAUGAAGUUGAUGCUGAGAUGCGAAGAGUACAACAUGGGUUGAUGAAGAUGAAAUGGAAAAUGAAGAAGAGGAAGAUGGAAUGGAAGAUAAUGGUCCAAAUAAUGAUGGUGGCAUAAAUGCUAUUAAUGAGGAAUCGAACAAGGGAGUGGACACAAUUUUGGAAUGCUCUAGCACGAGCAAUGAUUGUUGACUAUCAAAUUAGACAAAGCUAUUAUGCAAGUUGAAGUUUGAUAGGAACUUAUUCAGACUUAAUUGAAUAUUCGAGUGGCCAUUUACUAAAGAAUAGUAGUAAUGUAUAAUUGUGCUUUUCUUUCGCA